UACGUAGGGGGCAAGCGUUGUCCGGAUUUAUUGGGCGUAAAGAGCUCGUAGGCGGCUCAGUAAGUCGGGUGUGAAAGCCCCGAGCUCAACUCGGGGAGGCCACUCGAUACUGCUGUGGCUAGAGUCCGGUAGGGGAGCGUGGAAUUCCCGGUGUAGCGGUGAAAUGCGUAGAUAUCGUAAGGAAGACCUGUGGCGAAGGCGGGUCUCUGGACAGUUCCUGACGCUGAGGCACGAAGGCCAGGGGAGCAAACGGG
Molecule: ribosomal RNA, 254 nt
Filed under: uncultured bacterium
Lineage: Bacteria
Description: partial 16S ribosomal RNA
Rfam family: Bacterial small subunit ribosomal RNA
Source: RNAcentral